This 280-nucleotide unclassified non-coding RNA is filed under the name Panaeolus sp. RNAcentral's name for it is "partial contains 5.8S ribosomal RNA, internal transcribed spacer 2, and large subunit ribosomal RNA". The stretch from base 1 to 52 matches the Rfam family "5.8S ribosomal RNA", at positions 103 to 154 of the family's 154-position model. Lineage: Eukaryota; Fungi; Basidiomycota; Agaricomycetes; Agaricales. The record is from RNAcentral.
AACGCACAUUGCGCCCUUUGGUAUUCCGAAGGGCAUGCCUGUUCGAGCGUCAUUAUCACCUCUCAAGCCCCGGCUUGGUGUUGGACCGUUUGGUGGCGGCGACGUACCCAGACCCGGCCCCAAAGACAAUGACGGCGGCCUCGUUGGGACCCCCGGUACACUGAGUUCCUCACCAGACACGUAUCGGAUCAAGGGUGUGCGGGGCACGGUCUGCCUCCCCUCAGGGAGAACUUUUCUCAAGGUUGACCUCGGAUCAGGUAGGGAUACCCGCUGAACUUAA